AUAUUCCAAAUAGCGGAGGAAAAGAAACCAACAGGGAUUGCCCUAGUAACGGCGAGUGAAGCGGCAACAGCUCAAAUUUGAAAGCUAGCCUUCGGGUUCGCAUUGUAAUUUGUAGAGGAUGAUUUGGGGAAGCCGCCUGUCUAAGUUCCUUGGAACAGGACGUCAUAGAGGGUGAGAAUCCCGUAUGUGACAGGAAAUGGCACCCUAUGUAAAUCUCCUUCGACGAGUCGAGUUGUUUGGGAAUGCAGCUCUAAAUGGGAGGUAAAUUUCUUCUAAAGCUAAAUAUUGGCGAGAGACCGAUAGCGCACAAGUAGAGUGAUCGAAAGAUGAAAAGCACUUUGGAAAGAGAGUUAAAAAGCACGUGAAAUUGUUGAAAGGGAAGCGCUUGCAAUCAGACUUGUUUAAACUGUUCGGCCGGUCUUCUGACCGGUUUACUCAGUUUGGACAGGCCAGCAUCAGUUUCGGCGGCCGGAUAAAGGCUCUGGGAAUGUGGCCUCCACUUCGGUGGAGGUGUUAUAGCCCAGGGUGUAAUACGGCCAGCCGGGACUGAGGUCCGCGCUUCGGCUAGGAUGCUGGCGUAAUGGUUGUAAGCGACCCGUCUUAAAACACCGGGACCA
Molecule: ribosomal RNA, 617 nt
Filed under: Aureobasidium pullulans
Lineage: Eukaryota; Fungi; Ascomycota; Dothideomycetes; Dothideales; Saccotheciaceae
Description: partial large subunit ribosomal RNA
Rfam family: Eukaryotic large subunit ribosomal RNA
Source: RNAcentral